UGGCCCAUAAUCAGGCAACUGCAGAGUCUUAGGGGGUUAUCUAAUGUAGUCUUGGGGUGGCUGGAUAGACUUCCCAAAGAAGGUGAUGCCGAAGCUGAGGUCGGAAAUUACGAAGAUCAGCUAUAUCUUUAAUAAAUGAAAUAAAUGUGACUGUAUGUCCUACAUCCCAUUCCUGUUGUCUUCCAUGUCUCCUCAGAGGAAGGCCUGAGGAGAGAAGACACAUAGUCAUGCUGACUAAACCAGAUCACCUAGAAUUACCAAAUGGAAAGAUUGUGCCUGCAGCCUGGCCUGUUGCCCACAGCGGUCUACCUGCCACACUGGGAAAGAUCGAGCAGAGACAGAGAAGAAAAGGAGGCUCCAUUUUUCAGGCUGCUCUCCCGCAGGCUCAUGUUUUGUGUUCAUGCCAGGCAGAGAACACAAAAUGUUCCAAUAAAUAAGUAUCAAAGGUUAGUGGUGAAAAUGAAGGAGGAGGAGGCAUUGCGUGAAAAACUAAACAUGCAAAAUAUUACACACAAAGAGAACCAAAAUGCAGGUUCACUGGAAAUGAUAGACAAUAUGUUAAAACAAGAGGAGAGAAGAGAGCUGAAAUAAUCAAAUGGAAACACACAAUUUAGGGCUAAGAUCUUGUUGUGUUCAGCCACAAAUGAUGGCCAGCAGUGAGGAAUCUGUGUGUUCUCCACACUCUUCGCUCCUGGGAAGUCAACUCACAUGGACCAUGAUAUCAAUAUCUGCUCCUUCCCCUAAUAUCUGUUUGACCUUGGGUCAGUUACUUAAACUUCCUAAGCCUUAGUUUCUUUGUCUGGAAAAUAGGGAUAGUUAUACCUACCACACAACCACUUUGUAAUGAAUAUGUUGGAAAUUAUAUGCAAAUUGGCUUCCGUUGGUGUUUGGAACAUAGUAGGUUUUUAACUGGAAUAUAAUAGCUACCAUUAUCAGUAUCAUCAUAUUAAUUUAUAUUUCCAUCUUCAGCCCUUAACCCAGGAUCUUCAGUAAAUGUUGAAUUCUCAAAUUUGUUAAAUUCACUUGUCUAUACUAAUAUUUUACUCUAGGUUUCUUAGAAUAUUCUAGAUAAUAUUAUUAUGUAGAAUAUGUUAUGUAAGCUUCAUCUUAUCUGUAAAUAUAGUUUUACUUUUUCCUUUCUAAUUUUUAUGUCGAUUACUUCUUUUUCUUGGCUUAUUGAAUUGGCUAGGAUUCCCGUACAGUGUUGAAUACGUGCAGCAAGACUGCACAUCUUGCCUUGUUCCUGGUCCCACAGAGAGAAUAUCCAGUACUUCACAAUAAGUAUGUGUUAAUUGUAGAUUUUAUUAGAUUGAGGAAGUUCCCUUUCCUUUCAAGUCAGUCUUUUUAUUUUAAACAUGUAUUGAAGUUUUGUCAAAUGUCUUCAUCUAUUGGAAUAAUUAUACAUAUCUCUUUUUUAUUCUGUUAAUAUUACAUUUCAAUCUUCUGUCUACCUAAAAUCCCUAGAAUAAUCUCCAUUUGGCUAUGAUGUGUUGUGCUUUUAUAUAUUACUGAAUUCUAUAUGCCAAUAUUAUUAAAAUUUUCUGUCUUUAU
RNAcentral lists this long non-coding RNA (1551 nucleotides) under Homo sapiens (human). RNAcentral's name for it is "CCDC26 long non-coding RNA". The record is from RNAcentral. Lineage: Eukaryota; Metazoa; Chordata; Mammalia; Primates; Hominidae.